This 402-nucleotide unclassified non-coding RNA is filed under the name Hevea brasiliensis (rubber tree). Lineage: Eukaryota; Viridiplantae; Streptophyta; Magnoliopsida; Malpighiales; Euphorbiaceae. The record is from RNAcentral.
AAGAAUGAAGGGCUUGGCCAAAUGAAUCUUCAAUUAUCAUCCCAAACCAUAGUUGGGUGACAAGAAGGUAGACGUUAGGCGCCAAAUGUUGGGAGGAAAGGAGGGAGGCAACAUGCAAGCUUGAUUGGCUUCUAAAGUCAUUGAUCUGAGAGCAAAGAUCGACAUUCCCAACCUUGAUUAGCUUCAAUUUCAUUUUCUUCAUCAGGGACAGGGAGAGAAGAAUGAAGGGCUUGGCCAAAUGAAUCUCCGAUUAUAUCCCAAAUCGAAUUGAUCAGUGGGAGCCGACCAAUGAAAAACAUGAUGAUUUUGCAUAAAAAAUGUGUUGGAUCAGUUUUAUUUUAGCGUUCAGUGUGAGAACUGUGGAGGGCAGAAUAGACGGGAGAGAAGAGAGCAUCGUCAAAG